This is a long non-coding RNA of Sus scrofa (pig), 909 nucleotides long. RefSeq lists it as uncharacterized. The record is from RefSeq and is a predicted model, not a curated record. Lineage: Eukaryota; Metazoa; Chordata; Mammalia; Artiodactyla; Suidae.
GGAAUGGGAACAGGUCAAGUGCCCACAAAAAGAUGGUCAUUUCUCACCUCUUUCUUCCCCAACAAAUAAUGAUUGAUUAUGGACCUCAAAGACAGACGGGAAGGAGCUUGUUCCUGGUCCCACAGUCCCUGACUGCGCCUCCAGUUGGCAGCUGAAACCCUUCACCACCAUAGAGGGUAUUAGAAAUACAGGGGACGUAGGGAGAGAAAGGCUAAGAAAGAGAGGGGAAAAUGGACAAGCGGAUCCUAAAAUUCAGGUGGAAAUGCAAGGAGCUCAGAAGAGCCAACCUAAUCUAGAAAGAGAAACACAAAUUUGGAGGAACACUUCCGGAUUUCGAAACUUAACUGCACGCUAAAGUCAUCAAGUCAAGUCGGUACUGGCAUAAAGAUAGACACAGAGGUUUAUGGAACAGAGUUGAGAGUCCAGAGAGAAACCCUUCCCUAUAUUUACCGUCAGUUGAGUUUUGGCAAGAGGGCCGAGUCUGUUCAAUGGGAAAGAACAGUCUUUUCAACAGCUGGUGCCGGGACAACUGGCUUUCCACAGGCAAGUAAAAGAAAGUGCACCCCUACUUCAUACCACACACAAAAUCCAAUCAUUAUGGAGCGAAAAUCAAAAUGGGAGCGCUAACACCCUAAAACUCUUAGAAGAAAACAUAGCUGUACGUCUUCACAGCCUUGGAUUAAAUCACACUUUCCUGGCUCUGACAUCAAAAGCCCAAGCACGCAAAGAAAAAGUAGGCAAGGUGGGCUUCUUUAAAAGUAAAAACUUGUGUGAAUUGAAGCACCCCAUCCAGAAAAUGGAAAGGCAACGCACGUAAUGGGAGCAUGUAUUUGGAAGGCAUCUGAUAACUCGAGCAUCCAGAAUAUAUAAACAAGCCCACAAUACCAAGGUAAGUAACCCAAGUUAAAC